Molecule: unclassified non-coding RNA, 392 nt
Filed under: soil metagenome
Description: partial contains 5.8S ribosomal RNA, internal transcribed spacer 2, and large subunit ribosomal RNA
Rfam family: 5.8S ribosomal RNA (bases 1-122)
Source: RNAcentral
GAUGAAGAACGUAGCGAAAUGCGAUACUUGGUGUGAAUUGCAGAAUCCCGUGAACCAUCGAGUCUUUGAACGCAAGUUGCGCCCGAAGCCAUUAGGCCGAGGGCACGCCUGCCUGGGCGUCACACUUCGUUGCCCCCCCCAUCUACUCCUUCGGGAUUGCGGGGGGCGGAUGAUGGCCUCCCGUGCGCCUCGCCGCGCGGUUGGCAUAAAUGCCAAGUCCUCGGCGACGCACGCCACGACAAUCGGUGGUUGCGAAACCUCGGUUGCCCGUCGUGUGCGGUCGUCGCGCAUCGAGGGCUCGAAAAAAUUGCCGAGUUCCGGCUCGGCUUUCAACGCGACCCCAGGUCAGGCGGGGUUACCCGCUGAAUUUAAGCAUAUCAAUAAGCGGAGGA